AGGACACAAAAAAAAAAAUGGUAAACAAAUUACGUUAUUUGUCAUUUGUAGUGUAGGAAAAAAAGGGGAAAAUACUUAAUAACAAUUCCACCUCACUUAUACGUCAAAGUACAAGGGCACAUCAAAUGCAACUGCAAACUUUCACUAUUUUGUAAGGAGCAAGCAUACUUAUCUAGAGCACUUCAUACUAUCAAUUAAUCCGUACAAUCACCCUCUCAAUCUUCAUCAUCUGAGCUUCCCUCGUUACUACUAUAAUCACUACUGUCAUCACCCUGAUCAAGAAUAUCAAGCUGUACAUGUCGAACCUGUAUUGUCUCAGGUGGCUUAUGCAAUCCCUGAGGAGCACCUGGCUGCAAUUGUUGCUCCACCAUCCUAGGCACAGGAAGAGACUCAAAUGGAGGUAAUGGGUCCCCAGGCUUCCAUCCUGGUGGCGGCGGGGGUAAAUCUGUAGGCAAAACCACCGGCAUCCCAGGUUUCCACCCAGAUGGAACUGUGAUAUUGGGAGGAAGCAGGCUCUGAAUGGCAGCAUAAUUGGCAAGCGGAUUGGUCUCCUCUGGUUGUGGCGGUGGGGGAGGCUCAAUGAUUGCCUCAAUGGUUUUCUCCUUAGUUUCGACCUUUUUAGGCAAUCCCACGUCGAGGUCAGCAAAAGCGUACAACUGAGAAGCUCGCAUUUGCUCUUCUUGUGGAGCAGGAGGAAGUGCCCCACGAAGCGGAGCCUGCCCAGCACCAAAAUCAGGCGGCGCAAAAGUGGUAUAACUUAUCCGGUGAGCAUAAGAUAAAAUAUCCGAUAACUCGAGCUGAGAGGCAACAGUGGUAUUGCUCACACCAUCGUCCUCUAAUGAUUUUGUUUUUGCCCGUUUAGGACGGCGAUAAUCAGAGUAAUCAUCGACGAGGAUAUCAAGGACUCUUUCGGCUUCUUUGAGCUUAUUGGCGAAGUUGAGAAGCGCAGAAUCUUUGGAUUUGAUAUCGCGAGCAAUUCUUUGCUUGGCAUCUUGGAGGUCAAGGAUUUCUUGGAGCUCAGCAACGGCUUCAAAAAGUUGGGUCUGGAGGGAAGUGAAAAGAGAAAGAAUUUCUUUAGUGGAGGAAGGAUUGGAUUCGAGUGGAGGCGGAGGCAUUGAUUGGAUCUGAGAGGAGAGGAAUGUAGGUAGCGAUCCACGAAUGGUGGAUAGCCAAAGGGAUCGAUUGGGGGAGACUUCGAAAAACUUGGAAGCUAAGGAGGCCAUCUGGAGAAGAAGAGACUGGGCUCUACGGAGAGGAGGGAGAAGAGGGAGGAGAGCAGAGGACGUGGAGGAGGCAUUUGGGGGAUGCUGCUGCUGCUGCUGAUGGUGGUGGUGAACCAGCAAGUGCCUCGGUUGCUCCUCUUCUAUUGGUAUUAGCGUUUGCCCAUUGGAAUGCCUCGGUGGUUGUUCUUGAAUUGGGGCUAGCCUCUGUCCAUUUGAAUUAUGCUUUUCUUGAUGCUGUAUUGGUAUGUGAUUCCCAUUGCCAUUAGGCAUGGAGUUCUUCAACUUCAACAUAUCUAGAGUCUCUACAUACUUUUGAACUCUUUUCACCUGCAUUUUCCUCUGUAAUUUCACAUCCCCAUCGCCCAUAAUUCCAUCCAAUUUCAGCAAUUGAUUCAUCAAUAACUCAAUCAAAUUAGGCACAGUUUUCUCUGCUACUUUCCCACCUUUAGUAAUUAUAGAUUCAAGGGCGGACACCUGGCCGGCGAGUCUAUCAACUUCCAGGCUGAUUUCUGAAAUGGAUUUUGAAGCCUUCUCCAUCUUGGCAUUCCUUCUCAUCUCAAGGAAACGUUUUUCUUGGCUAAUUGGGUCCUCAACGAGAACAAUUUUGGACUUGUCCUUCACUCCAGAUAUGUCAAGAAAUGCAUUUGAAUCCCUCUCCUUGUCUUUGUAAAUCAGCUUUUGGUCUUGAUGGUGCAGUCCUGUCGGCCCUGUCAACAUUUUCUUCAACUCCCCAAAUGUAGCUUGGGAGCUUAUACUGAUUUCGUGGAACGUUGACCCGUACUUAACCCUAACUCUUAUUGUCGGUGGGGGGAUGGAGCUCCGACCAGAGUCCGGGUUUCGCUUCUGUACCAACAUUCCUCCUGGUCUAAGCUCCCAUUCGGCUCCAGUCUCGCCUCCGCCGCCGCUGCCACCAACUCUUGAGCCGCCAUUCAUAGGCGACAGCGCUGUCGGUUUAGUCUUCAUUCUCAUCAUUUUUUUUUUUUAAAUUUAACUCUCUUUGUUGCUUGUAUCGGUUGCAAAAAUUUAUGACACUUUUCAGGCAAAAGAGCCUCAGAUCUGUAGGAACCGUGAUUCUUCACGAUCUGUGUUAGAAAUCAAAGACACUCAUCUGAGACAAAGCUGUUCAACCCUGUUUCUGAUAGAGUUUCAGAAUGCUACCACCGCAGCAUUACACAAGUCCAAUCUCAAGAGCCACGCGUACACAGACAGAGAAAGAAAGAAAGAGCGCGUAACUUGCACAACCUUCUACUUUUAUUUUCUUUCUCUUUGCUGAAUCAAUGGCGUCUCUCAAAAGAAAAACUCCUGCCCAUGAAUGAAAUGAAUCUUCAAUUCUUGCAAUUGAAGAAAACUAAGCUCAUCCGUUCCCCAUCCGCAGGGAAAUCAAGAAUCUGCCAAAACCUUGAAAUGAAGAAAGUAAAUCCCAGAUCUCUCCCACAAAA
Molecule: unclassified non-coding RNA, 2662 nt
Filed under: Hevea brasiliensis (rubber tree)
Lineage: Eukaryota; Viridiplantae; Streptophyta; Magnoliopsida; Malpighiales; Euphorbiaceae
Source: RNAcentral